UUAACGCGCAAUAUCAGGAGAUCUGUUCGUCAGAUUUGCGAAUGGAUCGCACCAGUGCGAUCAGCACGACAGAGACAUCAAAUUCACAAUUUUGUUUCAGCUAAUUUAGUCGCAGAUUUGCGACGAAACCCACCCUCUCCCCAAAUGGCAAAAUCAUACACAAUUACAUAAAAUGCACGAAUCACCAGAUUUCUCAAAAUUCGUGCGUCAAACCUUAAAUCCGUCAGUGCCAUUGGUUUCAGGAUAGUAGAACCAUUGAAAACGAGCUAUUGAAUCGCUAUGAACGGAGUCCGAUAUGCGCCGAAAGCCAACUCUACUCAUUGGCCUCUCCGGAAAUCCGGGUUUCACUAAGGGUGUGUUUGGUUCCACGUAAAACUGUGGAAAAAAAAAUUUCGGUGGAAAAAAAAUUUUCGGUAGGAAAAAAAUUUUACGUCGUUUGUGUUUGGUUUGUAAGAAAAGAAAAAUAGUUUUCCGUGAUGGUUGUUUGGUUGAAAGGAAAAGAAAAAAGUAAAAAACUAUUUAAUAUAUAUUUUCUCUUAUUAUAUAUUAUUAUAUAUCAUUAAUAUAUAAUAAUUAUCCUAAUAUAUUUAAUUAUUAUAAUUUAUAUUUAUAAACAAGAUAUAUUUAAAAUAUAUUAUAUAAUAAAUAUAUAAUAUAAUAUA
RNAcentral lists this long non-coding RNA (662 nucleotides) under Ananas comosus (pineapple). RNAcentral's name for it is "long non-coding RNA (ACOM_LNC008968)". Lineage: Eukaryota; Viridiplantae; Streptophyta; Magnoliopsida; Poales; Bromeliaceae. The record is from RNAcentral.